Molecule: ribosomal RNA, 492 nt
Filed under: uncultured bacterium
Lineage: Bacteria
Description: partial 16S ribosomal RNA
Rfam family: Bacterial small subunit ribosomal RNA
Source: RNAcentral
AGUGAACGCUGGCGGCAGGCCUAACACAUGCAAGUCGAACGGCAGCACAGUAAGAGCUUGCUCUUACGGGUGGCGAGUGGCGGACGGGUGAGGAAUACAUCGGAAUCUACUUUUUCGUGGGGGAUAACGUAGGGAGACUUACGCUAAUACCGCAUACGACCUACGGGUGAAAGCAGGGGAUCUUCGGACCUUGCGCGAUUGAAUGAGCCGAUGUCGGAUUAGCUAGUUGGCGGGGUAAAGGCCCACCAAGGCGACGAUCCGUAGCUGGUCUGAGAGGAUGAUCAGCCACACUGGAACUGAGACACGGUCCAGACUCCUACGGGAGGCAGCAGUGGGGAAUAUUGGACAAUGGGCGCAAGCCUGAUCCAGCCAUACCGCGUGGGUGAAGAAGGCCUUCGGGUUGUAAAGCCCUUUUGUUGGGAAAGAAAAGCAGCAGGUUAAUACCCCGCUGUUCUGACGGUACCCAAAGAAUAAGCACCGGCUAACUUCGUG